GCCGUGGAGAAGCGAGGAGUCAUGGGAGAGAUUGAGGACACUGUCAGGAGUCCUCAUGCUGGCAUAUGGCAAGCUGUUUUAACGUGUAAUCCUUAAAAUUGAGCACUUCUCCUUUGCCCGAGAUAAUCCAUCCACCUCACAGUUUUAUCACACAGCACAAUGUCAUAGAUGUAACCACACCAGCCCAGGACCUCCACAUCCAGCAUCUUCACCUCCAAGAUCGUCUGAGACCAGCCACUCGGACAGCUGCUGCCACAAUCAUUUUGCAUAACCAAAGAACUUCUGCACAAACUGUCAGAAACCGUCUCAGGGAAGCUCAUCUGCAUGCUUGAAUGUAAAUGAAUGUAAACUUUAUGAAUGAAAAGAGCGCAUAUCAAACACCGCAUCGCUGUUGCCUCUCUGCGCAUCUCUCAGAAAUCAGAGCUUGGCAAGAGUAAUAUCAACUAAAAUAAUACAUCAUACACUUUCUACUGUUUGUGUAUAUUUAAAAGCCAAUGAUUUAAACCUUAUAGGCUAUGAUAUGAUACAAGAAUGAAUGGAAUAAGCACAGCGUGAUCACCAAUCAAACAGCCGUGUUGCCAUCUCUGCACGUCUCUCAAAAACCAAACCAGCUCUCUGUCAAGAGUAGGCUGAUAAUCAGCUUAGAUACAGAUACAUUUUCUACUAGGCCUUCAUGUUUGCUUCUUUAUCUUUUGCUUGUUU
Molecule: long non-coding RNA, 702 nt
Organism: Cyprinus carpio carpio
Lineage: Eukaryota; Metazoa; Chordata; Actinopteri; Cypriniformes; Cyprinidae
Source: Ensembl